AACCCAUGGUUAGGGUACAUUCUCAAUAAAUCCUUAUACGUCUUUCAUGCAUCAUAUAAUGUUUCUAAAUCAAUCUGCAUAAAGGAAGAGAUGUCAUUCCUCAACUU
Non-coding RNA from Gossypium hirsutum (cotton), 107 nucleotides. NCBI's taxonomy places the organism in Eukaryota, Viridiplantae, Streptophyta, Magnoliopsida, Malvales, Malvaceae. The record is from Rfam.